AGACUUAGCUGCUGUCGAAGCUCUAUCUACAAAUGGAUAAGACUUCGGUUUUAGUGUAUACGAGUUCUUGAAAAUAAAGGGGCAAUAACCAAUUUCUUGUUGUAUCAAGAGGGUUGGUUAUUGCUCCUUUGAUUUUAUGUAGGAGUCUGUUACUUAUACUUACAUAAGUUUUUUUCUUUACUUCAACAUAAGAAAAAGUAUUCUUAUAGGUUGGUUUAUGAUUGAGUAUUAUACUUUAUUUUGUUAUGUACUAAUUUUCAACUAAAAUUUAUAUACUUUCUUCUUACUUUCUUUUCAAUUUUUUCUUUUAUGAAGUAAAUGUUUUACAUUUAAAAUAAAAAAGAAAGGUUUCAAUUUUCUCCCCCUUCUAUCUUAUUCUUGUAUCGUAUAAGAAAAUCUUUCUUCUAAUCUUCUAAGAAAGAUAAAAAAAUUUAUGAAUGGUAAAUGGUAGAAAUUGAACUCUUUCUAAUUUGUAAAUAAUAGAGGGGCGGAUGUAGCCAAGUGGAUCAAGGCAGUGGAUUGUGAAUCCACCAUGCGCG
RNAcentral lists this unclassified non-coding RNA (539 nucleotides) under Sloanea macbrydei. RNAcentral's name for it is "partial miscellaneous RNA". The stretch from base 488 to 539 matches the Rfam family "tRNA", at positions 1 to 49 of the family's 71-position model. The record is from RNAcentral. Lineage: Eukaryota; Viridiplantae; Streptophyta; Magnoliopsida; Oxalidales; Elaeocarpaceae.